GAGGGUAUAGCUCAGUGGUAGAGUGCAUGCUUAGUAUCUAUGAGGUCCUGGGUUCAAUCCCGAUUACCUCC
RNAcentral lists this transfer RNA (71 nucleotides) under Camelus bactrianus (Bactrian camel). It matches the Rfam family "tRNA". From Rfam's summary of the family: Transfer RNA (tRNA) molecules are approximately 80 nucleotides in length. Lineage: Eukaryota; Metazoa; Chordata; Mammalia; Artiodactyla; Camelidae. The record is from Rfam by way of RNAcentral. RNAcentral also lists the same sequence under 2 other names.